UUCCCCCUUCCUUUUUCUCUCACAUAUGCUUUGAACCUUUUCUGAUCAGUGAACGCGUUAUCAUUAUCUAUUUUUGCCGACCUCUUUUUGGUCUGUAUCUGAUCAUGUGAUGAUAAUUUGCAUCUUUGCUUAUUCCAUUGAAAUUCUUACAUUUAUUGGAUAAAAAAAGCAUUUUUGCCUACUUCUCGAUCGGAUUCAUGUUUGU
This 205-nucleotide long non-coding RNA is filed under the name Theobroma cacao (cacao). RNAcentral describes it as "long non-coding RNA (TCAC_LNC004064)". The record is from RNAcentral. Lineage: Eukaryota; Viridiplantae; Streptophyta; Magnoliopsida; Malvales; Malvaceae.